This 496-nucleotide ribosomal RNA is filed under the name uncultured bacterium. Its description in RNAcentral is "partial 16S ribosomal RNA". It matches the Rfam family "Bacterial small subunit ribosomal RNA", at positions 28 to 507 of the family's 1533-position model. The record is from RNAcentral.
GAUGAACGCUGGCGGCGUGCCUAGUACAUGCAAGUCGAGCGAACAGACGAGGAGCUUGCUCCUCUGACGUUAGCGGCGGACGGGUGAGUAACACGUGGAUAACCUACCUAUAAGACUGGGAUAACUUCGGGAAACCGGAGCUAAUACCGGAUAAUAUAUUGAACCGCAUGGUUCAAUAGUGAAAGACGGUUUUGCUGUCACUUAUAGAUGGAUCCGCGCCGCAUUAGCUAGUUGGUAAGGUAACGGCUUACCAAGGCAACGAUGCGUAGCCGACCUGAGAGGGUGAUCGGCCACACUGGAACUGAGACACGGUCCAGACUCCUACGGGGGCAGCAGUAGGGAAUCUUCCGCAAUGGGCGAAAGCCUGACGGAGCAACGCCGCGUGAGUGAUGAAGGUCUUCGGAUCGUAAAACUCUGUUAUUAGGGAAGAACAAAUGUGUAAGUAACUAUGCACGUCUUGACGGUACCUAAUCAGAAAGCCACGUCUAACUACGUG